CAGCAGCCGCGGUAAAACAGAGGGUGCAAGCGUUAAUCGGAAUUACUGGGCGUAAAGCGCGCGUAGGUGGUUUGUUAAGUUGGAUGUGAAAUCCCCGGGCUCAACCUGGGAACUGCAUCCAAAACUGGCAAGCUAGAGUAUGGUAGAGGGUGGUGGAAUUUCCUGUGUAGCGGUGAAAUGCGUAGAUAUAGGAAGGAACACCAGUGGCGAAGGCGACCACCUGGACUGAUACUGACACUGAGGUGCGAAAGCGUGGGGAGCAAACAGGAUUAGAUACCCCCGUAGUCCCUGUCUCUUAUAC
RNAcentral lists this ribosomal RNA (301 nucleotides) under uncultured bacterium. RNAcentral describes it as "partial 16S ribosomal RNA". It matches the Rfam family "Bacterial small subunit ribosomal RNA", at positions 509 to 807 of the family's 1533-position model. The record is from RNAcentral.